Molecule: long non-coding RNA, 595 nt
Organism: Cotesia glomerata
Lineage: Eukaryota; Metazoa; Arthropoda; Insecta; Hymenoptera; Braconidae
Exons: 4
Source: RefSeq, a predicted model, not a curated record
AAUUAGAAGCCAACUGAUGUUCGCGGUAUGAAUACUAUGUCAUCGGGCUAUUUUUACACAUCAUUGCAAUUGCAGUUAUCACUUAAUAUCAACAAUAUAAAAUUGAUGCUGAACAUUCUGUGGUUCCAAGGUACUGAUUACAAGAAGGGCAGGUGUGUUUUUUAACCAGACAACUGUCAUUGCAAUAAACACAUGAGUAAAUAAAUCGGUAAAGUGAACAAAGAAGUAUGAUAAUUGACGGUAGUAAUUAAGAAUUCACCGGAUGUUUAGAGAUGAUCAUAAUAAGUGACAUCGCAUUCCAGCACGUAUUAAGCUAUUUUUAAAAGUUUUUUGUUAGUAUAAUGAUGUCAGAGACGCGACAUUUGACGCUUGACCUUUUGAGGAAAUUUAUGGAGCGAAAUAAAAAGGUCAGUUGUUAGCUUCCAGAAGAUGAGUUUUAUUGUUAUGGAUAUUUUUCUUACCCAACAAGACAAAGCAGCAGAGCAAAGAGAUGAGUUUUGGUACUCGGUUCUGUUUCUACUCUUGUGGAAAUAUCUGCGUGACAAUGAGGACAAUUUAAUCUCAUUGUAUCUGGUCCAAAGGUCGUUUGUUGGAU